AUGCUGUCAGGCACAUGGUGGGAUUUUCUUGGAGUGUCCUGUGCAGGGCCAGAAGUUGGACUCAGUGAUCCUGAUGGGUCCCUUCAAAUCCAGCAUAGUUCAAAUCAGUGUCUCAGAGAAAGUGUAACAAGGAAGAUUCAGACAAGAGCAAAAGUGGGAUUUUUAACAACAGAAGCAUUCAGUCACUGCAGCAAUAUAUCCAGGCAGAUGGCUAGAAAGAUAUUUAGGCAUGAAAAGGCAAAAAAGAGAUGGAAUUCAAAAAAACCCCACCUUUUCUCCUGGUUUGUGUAUCAGGAACAUUUUAUAAUUCAACUUUUGGAUAAAGGUACCCAGCAGCUUGUGACCCAGAUGCAGCAUUGCAGACCCCUAAGAUAUACUUCAGAUAGAUUUCAUUAUUCCACUACAGAAGGAACCUAA
Molecule: long non-coding RNA, 417 nt
Organism: Cyanistes caeruleus (blue tit)
Lineage: Eukaryota; Metazoa; Chordata; Aves; Passeriformes; Paridae
Source: Ensembl